RNAcentral lists this non-coding RNA (22 nucleotides) under Rattus norvegicus (Norway rat). The record is from RNAcentral. Lineage: Eukaryota; Metazoa; Chordata; Mammalia; Rodentia; Muridae.
AUUGGUAAGAAAACUGGCUGGC